UAAAGUUCUCAAUCUAAUUUGAGUUGUGCUUAAUGAGUAGGAGUACCAACGCAGAAUAUACCUGAAGUGGAUGUUCCCAGACAGCGUUAUGUAUACUGCUUCUGUGUAUGAAUUGCUUAAAUAUGGGUGGAUACCUUCUCACGGGCAGUUACUGUCAGCUAAGCCCCAAUCAGCUACAUUGUGCUAACAAGAACAUAGCCAAUGCCAGGACCUGCACUUCCAGGAGUUUCUGAAAUUCAGGAGCAUGGUUAAGACAGGAUGAAAUGAAGGAGCGACCUUCUGGGAAGCUGGGCUCUUAAGCGUGAGCGUGAGUGCUGUGGGUUUCACUCGUCCAAAAGAGCAGCAGCAGGAGAGUUUGAAUGUGGGGAACGUGCCAAGGAGGU
Molecule: long non-coding RNA, 383 nt
Organism: Cygnus atratus (black swan)
Lineage: Eukaryota; Metazoa; Chordata; Aves; Anseriformes; Anatidae
Exons: 3
Source: RefSeq, a predicted model, not a curated record